Molecule: ribosomal RNA, 491 nt
Filed under: uncultured bacterium
Lineage: Bacteria
Description: partial 16S ribosomal RNA
Rfam family: Bacterial small subunit ribosomal RNA
Source: RNAcentral
GUGAACGCUGGCGGUAGGCCUAACACAUGCAAGUCGAACGGCAGCACCGUAAGAGCUUGCUCUUACGGGUGGCGAGUGGCGGACGGGUGAGGAAUACAUCGGAAUCUACUUUUUCGUGGGGGAUAACGUAGGGAAACUUACGCUAAUACCGCAUACGACCUACGGGUGAAAGCAGGGGAUCUUCGGACCUUGCGCGAUUGAAUGAGCCGAUGUCGGAUUAGCUAGUUGGCGGGGUAAAGGCCCACCAAGGCGACGAUCCGUAGCUGGUCUGAGAGGAUGAUCAGCCACACUGGAACUGAGACACGGCCCAGACUCCUACGGGAGGCAGCAGUGGGGAAUAUUGGACAAUGGGCGCAAGCCUGAUCCAGCCAUACCGCGUGGGUGAAGAAGGCCUUCGGGUUGUAAAGCCCUUUUGUUGGGAAAGAAAAGCAGCAGGUUAAUACCCCGCUGUUCUGACGGUACCCAAAGAAUAAGCACCGGCUAACUUCGUG